RNAcentral lists this ribosomal RNA (1359 nucleotides) under uncultured bacterium. RNAcentral's name for it is "bacterial SSU rRNA". It matches the Rfam family "Bacterial small subunit ribosomal RNA", at positions 28 to 1381 of the family's 1533-position model. The record is from RNAcentral.
GAUGAACGCUAGCUACAGGCUUAACACAUGCAAGUCGAGGGGCAGCAUUUCAGUUUGCUUUCAGACUGGAGAUGGCGACCGGCGCACGGGUGAGUAACACGUAUCCAACCUGCCGAUAACUCGGGGAUAGCCUUUCGAAAGAAAGAUUAAUACCCGAUGGCAUAAUUAGACCGCAUGGUCUUAUUAUUAAAGAAUUUCGGUUAUCGAUGGGGAUGCGUUCCAUUAGGCAGUUGGUGAGGUAACGGCUCACCAAACCUUCGAUGGAUAGGGGUUCUGAGAGGAAGGUCCCCCACAUUGGAACUGAGACACGGUCCAAACUCCUACGGGAGGCAGCAGUGAGGAAUAUUGGUCAAUGGGCGCAGGCCUGAACCAGCCAAGUAGCGUGAAGGAUGACUGCCCUAUGGGUUGUAAACUUCUUUUAUAUGGGAAUAAAGUUUUCCACGUGUGGAAUUUUGUAUGUACCAUAUGAAUAAGGAUCGGCUAACUCCGUGCCAGCAGCCGCGGUAAUACGGAGGAUCCGAGCGUUAUCCGGAUUUAUUGGGUUUAAAGGGAGCGUAGGUGGACAGUUAAGUCAGUUGUGAAAGUUUGCGGCUCAACCGUAAAAUUGCAGUUGAUACUGGCUGUCUUGAGUACAGUAGAGGUGGGCGGAAUUCGUGGUGUAGCGGUGAAAUGCUUAGAUAUCACGAAGAACUCCGAUUGCGAAGGCAGCUCACUGGACUGCAACUGACACUGAUGCUCGAAAGUGUGGGUAUCAAACAGGAUUAGAUACCCUGGUAGUCCACACAGUAAACGAUGAAUACUCGCUGUUUGCGAUAUACAGUAAGCGGCCAAGCGAAAGCAUUAAGUAUUCCACCUGGGGAGUACGCCGGCAACGGUGAAACUCAAAGGAAUUGACGGGGGCCCGCACAAGCGGAGGAACAUGUGGUUUAAUUCGAUGAUACGCGAGGAACCUUACCCGGGCUUAAAUUGCAUUUGAAUAUAUUGGAAACAGUAUAGCCGUAAGGCAAAUGUGAAGGUGCUGCAUGGUUGUCGUCAGCUCGUGCCGUGAGGUGUCGGCUUAAGUGCCAUAACGAGCGCAACCCUUAUCUUUAGUUACUAACAGGUCAUGCUGAGGACUCUAGAGAGACUGCCGUCGUAAGAUGUGAGGAAGGUGGGGAUGACGUCAAAUCAGCACGGCCCUUACGUCCGGGGCUACACACGUGUUACAAUGGGGGGUACAGAAGGCAGCUACCUGGUGACAGGAUGCUAAUCCCAAAAGCCUCUCUCAGUUCGGAUCGAAGUCUGCAACCCGACUUCGUGAAGCUGGAUUCGCUAGUAAUCGCGCAUCAGCCAUGGCGCGGUGAAUACGUUCCCGGGCCU